CCUACGGGAGGCUGCAGUGAGGAAUAUUGGUCAAUGGCCGAGAGGCUGAACCAGCCAAGUCGCGUGAGGGAUGACGGCCCUACGGGUUGUAAACCUCUUUUGUCGGGGAGCAAAGCGCCCCACGUGUGGUUCAUUGAGAGUACCCGGAGAAAAAGCAUCGGCUAACUCCGUGCCAGCAGCCGCGGUAAUACGGAGGAUGCGAGCGUUAUCCGGAUUUAUUGGGUUUAAAGGGUGCGCAGGCGGAGGUGCAAGUCAGCGGUAAAAUUGCGGGGCUCAACCCCGUACUGCCGUUGAAACUGCAUCCCUUGAGUGCGCGAGAAGUACGCGGAAUGCGUGGUGUAGCGGUGAAAUGCAUAGAUAUCACGCAGAACUCCGAUUGCGAAGGCAGCAUACCGGCGCGCAACUGACGCUCAUGCACGAAAGCGUGGGUAUCGAACAGGAUUAGAUACCCCUGUAGUC
RNAcentral lists this ribosomal RNA (459 nucleotides) under uncultured bacterium. RNAcentral's name for it is "partial 16S ribosomal RNA". It matches the Rfam family "Bacterial small subunit ribosomal RNA", at positions 338 to 795 of the family's 1533-position model. The record is from RNAcentral.